This 501-nucleotide ribosomal RNA is filed under the name uncultured bacterium. Its description in RNAcentral is "partial 16S ribosomal RNA". It matches the Rfam family "Bacterial small subunit ribosomal RNA", at positions 29 to 523 of the family's 1533-position model. The record is from RNAcentral.
AUUGAACGCUGGCGGCAUGCCUUACACAUGCAAGUCGAACGGCAGCACGGGUGCUUGCACCUGGUGGCGAGUGGCGAACGGGUGAGUAAUACAUCGGAACGUACCUUAUCGUGGGGGAUAACGCAGCGAAAGCUGUGCUAAUACCGCAUACGCCCUGCGGGGGAAAGCGGGGGAUCGAAAGACCUCGCGCGAUUAGAGCGGCCGAUGCCUGAUUAGCUUGUUGGUGGGGUAAAAGCCCACCAAGGCGACGAUCAGUAGCUGGUCUGACAGGACGAGCAGCCACACUGGGACUGGAAGACGGCCCAGCCUCCUAGGGGAGGCAGCAGUGGGGAAUUUUGGACAAUGGGGGCAACCCUGAUCAAGCAAUGCCGGGUGAGUGUAGAAGGCCUUCGGGUUGUAAAGCUCUUUUGUCAGGGAAGAAACACCGGCUCUAACACAGUCCGGGAAUGACGGUACCUGAAGAAUAAGCACCGGCUAACUACGUGCCAGCCGCCGCCGUAA